AAAUUGAAGAGUUUGAUCAUGGCUCAGAUUGAACGCUGGCGGCAGGCCUAACACAUGCAAGUCGAGCGGUAGCACAGAGAGCUUGCUCUCGGGUGACGAGCGGCGGACGGGUGAGUAAUGUCUGGGAAACUGCCUGAUGGAGGGGGAUAACUACUGGAAACGGUAGCUAAUACCGCAUAACGUCGCAAGACCAAAGAGGGGGACCUUCGGGCCUCUUGCCAUCAGAUGUGCCCAGAUGGGAUUAGCUAGUAGGUGGGG
Molecule: ribosomal RNA, 258 nt
Filed under: Enterobacter asburiae
Lineage: Bacteria; Pseudomonadati; Pseudomonadota; Gammaproteobacteria; Enterobacterales; Enterobacteriaceae
Also listed under: 1 other name
Description: partial 16S ribosomal RNA
Rfam family: Bacterial small subunit ribosomal RNA
Source: RNAcentral